This 254-nucleotide ribosomal RNA is filed under the name uncultured bacterium. RNAcentral's name for it is "partial 16S ribosomal RNA". It matches the Rfam family "Bacterial small subunit ribosomal RNA", at positions 524 to 776 of the family's 1533-position model. The record is from RNAcentral.
UACGUAGGGUGCGAGCGUUGUCCGGAAUUAUUGGGCGUAAAGAGCUCGUAGGCGGUGUGUUACGUCGGCCGUGAAAACCUGCAGCUUAACUGUGGGCGUGCGGUCGAUACGGGCAUCACUGGAGUUCGGCAGGGGAGACUGGAAUUCCUGGUGUAGCGGUGAAAUGCGCAGAUAUCAGGAGGAACACCGGUGGCGAAGGCGGGUCUCUGGGCCGGUACUGACGCUGAGACGCGAAAGCGUGGGGAGCGAACAGG